Molecule: small nuclear RNA, 107 nt
Organism: Cercocebus atys (sooty mangabey)
Lineage: Eukaryota; Metazoa; Chordata; Mammalia; Primates; Cercopithecidae
Source: Ensembl
GUGCUCGCUUCAGCAGCAUGUAUACUAAAAAUUAGAACGAUGCAGAGAAGUUAGUAUGACCCCUGUACAGCAAUGACACACAAAUUCAUGAGGGAAAAAAAAAAAAA